Molecule: long non-coding RNA, 683 nt
Organism: Alosa sapidissima (American shad)
Lineage: Eukaryota; Metazoa; Chordata; Actinopteri; Clupeiformes; Clupeidae
Exons: 3
Source: RefSeq, a predicted model, not a curated record
AAAUGUAGACAUUACAGUCAAACGCAAGGAGGACCUCCAGUCCAAGCAUGGCUGGAUAGAGGUGAUUUUGCCUGCUAGACGCAGGCAAGAUCCAAAGCCGGUUGCAGCCAAACUGCUCUUCUUGUCAGGAAACUACAACGACUUAGUCGAGAAGCGUAUUGCUUUCCUCCAGGGAGAGGAUUUAUGGUCUUCCUUUGGUGAGUCCAGCAAAACGAUUUGCCAGGAGAAGAGGGUGAUGAAGCAAGGAAUGACCGCAUGUUAAGUCAAGAUUCAGUCUCCUGUUACAAAUACUAUCAGAGUGAUGGAUGGAUGGAUGGAGGUGGAUUCUUGGAAAGUGUGGUGUAGACGCUAUAUAAAGAACUGCACUAUUAAAGCUCUUUAAAAAUUCCGUAAGUUUUCUGAUCUCUGUUUAUCGAGGUCACCCAGUACUGUUGGUACAAAACAAAAUGAAAACAACCUGUUUUGCCUAGCUCAAGUUAUUACAACCAGCAGCUUACAAACAGUUGUUUUCGUUGUGUUUCGAACUAACAGUACUUGGUGACUUCGAGAAACGGGGAUCUUUCUGAAAUCUCGCCAGAUUUCCCCUUCAAAGCCUGGUGGUUUGUGUGGAAAUUUUCAAAAUCAUGGAAAUCCACAGUUCACGCGAGAGCACAAUGGAAUUGUCUCUGCGAGACACUCUGACA